AGGGUUUGAUCAUGGCUCAGAACGUACGCUGGCGGCACGCCUAACACAUGCAAGUCGAACGAAGUAGCAAUACUUAGUGGCAGACGGGUGAGUAACAUGUAGGUAUCUGCCCUUUGGCCUGGAAUAACACGAGGAAACUUGUGCUAAUACCGGAUAAGUCUUUACGGAGAAAGCUUUAUGCACCAUUGGAUGAGCCUGCACUUGAUUAGUUUGUUGGUGGGGUAAUGGCCUACCAAGACUGUGAUCAAUAGCUGAUUUGAGAGGAUGAUCAGCCACAUUGGGACUGAGACACGGCCCAAACUCCUACGGGAGGCAGCAGUGGGGAAUCUUGCACAAUGGAGGAAACUCUGAUGCAGCGAUGCCGCGUGAGUGAAGAAGGCCCUUGGGUUGUAAAGCUCUUUCGUCGGGGAAGAAAAUGACUGUACCCGAAUAAGAAGGUCCGGCUAACUUCGUGCCAGCAGCCGCGGUAAUACGAAGGGACCUAGCGUAGUUCGGAAUUACUGGGCUUAAAGAGUUCGUAGGUGGUUGAAAAAGUUAGUGGUGAAAUCCCAGAGCUUAACUCUGGAACUGCCAUUAAAACUUUUCAGCUAGAGUAUGAUAGAGGAAAGCAGAAUUUCUAGUGUAGAGGUGAAAUUCGUAGAUAUUAGAAAGAAUACCAAUUGCGAAGGCAGCUUUCUGGAUCAUUACUGACACUGAGGAACGAAAGCAUGGGUAGCGAAGAGGAUUAGAUACCCUCGUAGUCCAUGCCGUAAACGAUGUGUGUUAGACGUUGGAAAUUUAUUUUCAGUGUCGCAGGGAAACCGAUAAACACACCGCCUGGGGAGUACGACCGCAAGGUUAAAACUCAAAUGAAUUGACGGGGACCCGCACAAGUAGUGGAGCAUGUGGUUUAAUUCGAAGAUACGCGCAGAACCUUACCAACACUUGACAUGUUCGUCGCGACUCUAAGAGAUUAGAGUUUUCGGUUCGGCCGGACGAAACACAGGUGCUGCAUGGCUGUCGUCAGCUCGUGUCGUGAGAUGUUGGGUUAAGUCCCGCAACGAGCGCAACCCUCACUUUUAGUUGCCAUCAUUAAGUUGGGCACUCUGAAAGAACUGCCAGUGAUAAGCUGGAGGAAGGUGGGGAUGACGUCAAGUCCUCAUGGCCCUUACGUGUUGGGCUACACACGUGCUACAAUGGUAUCUACAACAGGAAGCAAGACUGCGAAGUUAAGCAAAUCCUUAAAAGAUACCUCAGUUCGGAUUGCACUCUGCAACUCGAGUGCAUGAAGCUGGAAUUACUAGUAAUCGUGGAUCAGCGUGCCACGGUGAAUGCGUUCCCGGGUCUUGUACACACCGCCCGUCACACCAUGGGAGUUGGUUCUACCUUAAGGCAAGGUUUAAAACCCUUGACCACGGUAUAGUCAGCGACUGGGGUGAAGUCAUAACAAGGUAGCC
Molecule: ribosomal RNA, 1436 nt
Filed under: uncultured bacterium
Lineage: Bacteria
Description: bacterial SSU rRNA
Rfam family: Bacterial small subunit ribosomal RNA
Source: RNAcentral